CCUACGGGCGGCUGCAGUGGGGAAUAUUGGACAAUGGGCGAAAGCCUGAUCCAGCCAUGCCGCGUGUGUGAAGAAGGCAUUCGGGUUGUAAAGCACUUUCAGUGGGGAAGAAAGCCUUGGGGCUAAUACCCUCGAGGAAGGACAUCACCCACAGAAGAAGCACCGGCUAACUCCGUGCCAGCAGCCGCGGUAAUACGGAGGGUGCGAGCGUUAAUCGGAAUUACUGGGCGUAAAGCGCGCGUAGGCGGUCUGAUAAGCCGGUUGUGAAAGCCCCGGGCUCAACCUGGGAACGGCAUCCGGAACUGUCAGGCUAGAGUGCAGGAGAGGAAGGUAGAAUUCCCGGUGUAGCGGUGAAAUGCGUAGAGAUCGGGAGGAAUACCAGUGGCGAAGGCGGCCUUCUGGACUGACACUGACGCUGAGGUGCGAAAGCGUGGGUAGCAAACAGGAUUAGAUACCCCUGUAGUC
Molecule: ribosomal RNA, 465 nt
Filed under: Vreelandella stevensii
Lineage: Bacteria; Pseudomonadati; Pseudomonadota; Gammaproteobacteria; Oceanospirillales; Halomonadaceae
Description: partial 16S ribosomal RNA
Rfam family: Bacterial small subunit ribosomal RNA
Source: RNAcentral